This 433-nucleotide ribosomal RNA is filed under the name uncultured bacterium. RNAcentral's name for it is "partial 16S ribosomal RNA". It matches the Rfam family "Bacterial small subunit ribosomal RNA", at positions 29 to 507 of the family's 1533-position model. The record is from RNAcentral.
AACGAACGCUGGCGGCAUGCCUAACACAUGCCAGUCGAACGAGACCUUCGGGUCUAGUGGCGCACGGGUGCGUAACGCGUGGGAACCUGCCCUUAGGUUCGGAAUAACUCCCCGAAAGGGGUGCUAAUACCGGAUAAUGUCUUCGGACCAAAGAUUUAUCGCCUUUGGAUGGGCCCGCGUUGGAUUAGCUAGUUGGUAGGGUAAAAGCCUACCAAGGCGACGAUCCAUAGCUGGUCUGAGAGGAGGAUCAGCCACACUGGGACUGAGACACGGCCCAGACUCCUACGGGAGGCAGCAGUGGGGAAUAUUGGACAAUGGGCGAAAGCCUGAUCCAGCAAUGCCGCGUGAGUGAUGAAGGCCUUAGGGUUGUAAAGCUCUUUUACCCGGGAUGAUAAUGACAGUACCGGGAGAAUAAGCUCCGGCUAACUCCGUG